RNAcentral lists this ribosomal RNA (499 nucleotides) under uncultured bacterium. Its description in RNAcentral is "bacterial SSU rRNA". It matches the Rfam family "Bacterial small subunit ribosomal RNA", at positions 339 to 836 of the family's 1533-position model. The record is from RNAcentral.
CUACGGGAGGCAGCAGUGGGGAAUAUUGGACAAUGGGCGCAAGCCUGAUCCAGCCAUGCCGCGUGAGUGAUGAAGGCCUUAGGGUUGUAAAGCUCUUUUGUCCGGGACGAUAAUGACGGUACCGGAAGAAUAAGCCCCGGCUAACUUCGUGCCAGCAGCCGCGGUAAUACGAAGGGGGGCUAGCGUUGCUCGGAAUCACUGGGCGUAAAGGGCGCGUAGGCGGCCAUUCAAGUCGGGGGGUGAAAGCCUGUGGCUCAACCACAGAAUUGCCUUCGAUACUGUUUGGGCUUGAGUUUGGUAAAAGGUGGGUGGAACUGCGAGUUGUAAGAGGUGGAAAUUCGUAGAUAUUCGCAAGGAACACCAGUUGGGCGGAAGGCGGGCCAACUGGGACCAAUACUGACGCUGAGGGCGCGAAAGGCGGUGGGGGAGCAAAACAGGGAUUAGAUACCCCUGGUAGUCCACGCCGUAACGAUGAAUGCUAGCCGUGUUGGGGGGUGCU